This is an unclassified non-coding RNA of Ursus americanus (American black bear), 71 nucleotides long. The record is from Ensembl. NCBI's taxonomy places the organism in Eukaryota, Metazoa, Chordata, Mammalia, Carnivora, Ursidae.
GGGAGAUCACCCCAUUUCACCUACUUCCGCAGCACUCUCAGAAAUGAUUUAUUAAAGCUCAGAGCUUUGGG